Molecule: long non-coding RNA, 90 nt
Organism: Fundulus heteroclitus (mummichog)
Lineage: Eukaryota; Metazoa; Chordata; Actinopteri; Cyprinodontiformes; Fundulidae
Exons: 2
Source: RefSeq, a predicted model, not a curated record
CUCCAGGUUGGUGAGAAAGUUUCCUCUCUAAGGAAACCCAGCAGGUUGCAUCAAAUCUCUCCAAGCAGCCUUCACUCCUCCUGAAAGAGC